GAUGAACGCUGGCGGCGUGCCUAAUACCUGCACGUCGAGCGAACAGAUGAGGAGCUUGCUCCUCUGACGUUAGCGGCGGACGGGUGAGUAACACGUGGAUAACCUACCUAUAAGACUGGGAUAACUUCGGGAAACCGGAGCUAAUACCGGAUAAUAUCUUGAACCGCAUGGUUCAAUAGUGAAAGACGGUUUUGCUGUCACUUAUAGAUGGAUCCGCGCCGCAUUAGCUAGUUGGUAAGGUAACGGCUUACCAAGGCAACGAUGCGUAGCCGACCUGAGAGGGUGAUCGGCCACACUGGAACUGAGACACGGUCCAGACUCCUACGGGAGGCAGCAGUAGGGAAUCUUCCGCAAUGGGCGAAAGCCUGACGGAGCAACGCCGCGUGAGUGAUGAAGGUCUUCGGAUCGUAAAACUCUGUUAUUAGGGAAGAACAAAUGUGUAAGUAACUAUGCACGUCUUGACGGUACCUAAUCAGAAAGCCACGGCUAACUACGUG
This 497-nucleotide ribosomal RNA is filed under the name uncultured bacterium. Its description in RNAcentral is "partial 16S ribosomal RNA". It matches the Rfam family "Bacterial small subunit ribosomal RNA", at positions 28 to 507 of the family's 1533-position model. The record is from RNAcentral.